GGGGGCGUGCUUAACACAUGCAAGUCGAACGAAGCGGUUUAGCGGAAGUUUUCGGAUGGAAGUUAAACUGACUGAGUGGCGGACGGGUGAGUAACGCGUGGGUAACCUGCCUCACACAGGGGGACAACAGCUAGAAAUGGCUGCUAAUACCGCAUAAGCGCACAGUUUCGCAUGAAGCAGUGUGAAAAACUCCGGUGGUGUGAGAUGGACCCGCGUCUGAUUAGCUGGUUGGUGAGGUAACGGCUCACCAAGGCGACGAUCAGUAGCCGACCUGAGAGGGUGACCGGCCACAUUGGGACUGAGACACGGCCCAAACUCCUACGGGAGGCAGCAGUGGGGAAUAUUGCACAAUGGGGGAAACCCUGAUGCAGCGACGCCGCGUGAGUGAAGAAGUACUUCGGUAUGUAAAGCUCUAUCAGCAGGGAAGAGAAUGACGGUACCUGACUAAGAAGCCCCGGCUAACUACGUGCCAGCAGCCGCGGUAAUACGUAGGGGGCAAGCGUUAUCCGGAUUUACUGGGUGUAAAGGGAGCGUAGACGGCUUAGCAAGUCUGAAGUGAAAGCCCGGGGCUCAACCCCGGGACUGCUUUGGAGACUGUUAAGCUGGAGUGCUGGAGAGGUAAGCGGAAUUCCUAGUGUAGCGGUGAAAUGCGUAGAUAUUAGGAGGAACACCAGUGGCGAAGGCGGCUUACUGGACAGUAACUGACGUUGAGGCUCGAAAGCGUGGGGAG
Molecule: ribosomal RNA, 730 nt
Filed under: uncultured bacterium
Lineage: Bacteria
Description: bacterial SSU rRNA
Rfam family: Bacterial small subunit ribosomal RNA
Source: RNAcentral